CUGAGACAUCUUGAAGUGUCAGAUUUUGAUCCAUCGAUUUGACCGAAGUGUCAGAUUUUGAUUGAUCGAUUUUGACCUUUUUGACCUGGCACAAGGGCAGGGGGCGUGGUACUUGUCACUUUAGAGUUUGAGAAGUUGUGCAUAGAUCCAUCUCUCUCUAGGCUCAUUAAUUUUUCCCUCUGUACCGCAGUGUAAAAUGUUCGUAUCUUUAUAAACAAAGAUUUGCAUUCAAAAGUGCGCCAUCAAACGAAAUGCGCGAUUCACAACGUCAUGGUAUGCGACGGGCGUUCCUGGCGGCAGUUGCAGUUUUCCUUCUGAGGUAAGAGCAUGCGUGCAUGGUUAAGAGAGUAAAAAGAAAAAAAUAGGACUAAAAUCUGCGCCACAAAAACUGAUAGAAUCAGCCCAAAUGUAGCUGGUAGCCCAUUUAGAACUGUAGAGUAUCAUUCAUUUGACUGAUUUAUUUAAGGCACUGUCAUAAAUGUGCAGAGACGUAUUUUAGCCAGCUAGUAGGUCUACAGGAUGAAAAAGGCUGCGUCUUUAAAUUUCAACUUUAUUUUGGUGUAAUUUUAUUAGAAGAGCUUUGCAUAAAACUAUAAUGACCGUUGCCAUGAACAAGAAACACCUUUCAUAAAUGUUUUCGAUCAGAUUAUGAUGUAAUCUUUAAUGUGGUGUGCGAUGCCUACCUGGCAUUAAUGACUGAGAGGUGCUUUGAUGGACAUGAAGCAUUUAGACAGCCUACCCAAAAGUCUACCACACUAUUUUCCACUCCUACAACAUGUAUACCUACCGUGGUUGAUCAUAGACAGUAUACAUAUAAUGAUUAUAAUCUCUGUACAUUAGCAACAUGUAUGCAGAAUAAAAAUUGUUGAAAUAAAUACGGUUCUGUCUGAAAAAUCACAAAAAAAUAGGCUUUAAUCAUUGUUUCCACAAUUUUAGGUUAAAUUAUUACAAGUUGUAGCCUAGGCCUACUUAAAUCUAGAAGUGAUAUGCUACCACCAGAAGUUCAACAAAGUGAUCACUGAGGGGCAAGUAAUGACUGGAGGCUGUGAUUAUUUUGCACAGUGACCUAGCAUAGACCUAGCCUACAUAUACCUUCAAAUGAAAUGGUACCUUUUAUCUGUCAAUUAUGAUAAUAAAAUCUGUACUGUAUCUCAUCCAGGUUUGAGUUCCCAAUUUUGCUCUCUCUUUUCUCAACAGAUCCUGCAAAUUUGUCAUCCUACCAACCCUUUCCUGUUUUAUUGAAAACAAAACAACCCAAAGGCAGCUUUUAGAGCCACGUCUUUCUUGUUAACCUGUCCUUGCUGUGUUUUACCUGUUAGCCGUUCUCUCCCUCUCUCUCACUCACUCUAACACUCUCUCUCUAUCACAGUCCCUGUCCUUACCUUUGUGUUUGUCUUAUUUGUCCAACUUUCUGUUGUCUGUCUAUCUGUCUGUUUGUCUUCAUCAUGAGCGAUUCAGAGCUCUAGGAUCUGCUCGAGAGUGCAGAUAACCUGGCUGCAAAUCUCAGCAAUGACCUGCAAGGGGUGGAUGACUUGCUUGGUGAGCUCCAGAAAGAGCAAGCUACUGCACCUCUGCCAACAAUAAGGUGGAAGAAGAGGGACAGCGAUGGCAACGUAAUCCGAAGGCCACACUCAAGCAGGCGUCAGUCUAACCAGGCUGGCUGCCGUCAGAAGACUCAUCCUCCUGUAGAUGCUCCUGACACUAACUCUGAGGUGGUCUUUGCUCCAGAGGCUAUUGAGUUACAAGAACUCCAGCAUUCAUUGUGUGAUGCCACAGGAGAUGAGAUGGAAGCACCAUCUCCAAGAGCUCCUCUGGCUUCAUCAAACUGGAGCACCAGCAAAAAUAUAUUUUCAGAAAGCUGGAGGGCAGCAAGACCACAGUGGCACUAGAAAAUGUAGAAGGCCACAUCUGCCAACAGUGUUCGAGCAAUUCCGCUGUUGUUCGUUGCUGUGAUUGCCGUCCACGCCGCUUCUUCUGUGCCAAAUGUGAUGUCAGCAUGCACACCAGACACCCCCUCCACAACAGAGAUGGCAGUACUUCGGGAUUCUUCCAGCCAUUACCCCCAACAACUUAUGUCCUGAAUAAGGCCCUUUCCCCCUGUGGUAAUUUCUGGUUUUGCGUUAUGUACCUGUGGAGAUCCCUGAAAAAAUAUGUGGUUGUCCAACAGACUCAUUGAGGAUCAAACCAGGAAAGGCUGUGGCUGUGAUCACAGUGAAUGGACGACAUGAGCUCAGCAUGCCAGAGUUGGCUUGCAGUGCAUGCAAAGCCACGUGGACUGCUGAAGUUGAGGAUGUUCUAAAGAGUUACUACUGGCCAGCUACCCUUCACUUUGCCACAAUCUAUGCCACAGAUGUUUUCUUCUCAUUUGAAGAAAUUAAAAUGUCUGCACCUGGACUGUCCUGUCAGGCAUUUUUAAAAAUGCUCGAUCAGCGAGCUGUCCGCUUUGGCCGUACUGGGAAAAUCUCAGGCGAUAGCUUCAUCAAAAGCUUCUUCGAGUGGGAGGCUGUGAGAUAUGAGGUGGACAGCCUCCGCAAGGCCUGUUGAGCGUGCAGCCCGGUCAUGCUUGCAGUUUCCAUGGAUGGAAACCGCAAGCAUGACCGUUUUAAAAACGCAGCAAGAUCUGAGGAGCAGGCCAUUUUUGAUAACCUCUUCAUAGCAAAGGAUGAAGACGUAACACAAUUUGUCAACUACAUUCACAGAACGACAAAACAUGUCUCUGGAAGAGCUGUUUGUGGUGGGGAAUGGUCGGCGGCUCGAGAGACGUCCCAAAAAUCAGCCAGCAAACUGGACGAGGAGGGACUGGAGCUGGCUGUGUGUCGGCAUGGAGUCCUCCUCUGUGCCCUCAACAUGUACAGGGGAGAAAUGUUUGCCUAUCCCCUUUUUCUACAGGAGAAGCUGGUCUACAUUCUUUUGCAUGGAUGUAGCCUGCAAGUAUUCGCCAUACCUGGAGAAAAUCAUUAGAAGCUGCCCUGAGUUUAAACAUCUGCUGGAAAUGAAGCCCUUCCUCUCGGUGUUUCAUGCAAAAGCCCAUGAUUUUAAAUGUGAAAUCAAAUGGAGUGGAGCAUUUCUGGAGGGGGCUGGGUUAACGCUUGGGGAGGAGGUGGAACAAGUGAAUGCCUUCCUCUCUAGGAUAGCAGUUACGACAAAGCAUAUGUCAAAAGCAGACUCUGUCGACCUCAGAAUGAAGAGGAGAGUUUUUGACAGUGUCAUGGCGGAACGAAGACAUCGGGAAGAAAAAACUAUCCUUUUGUCAGAGAUGAACCGCCACUGGAGGUCCUUAACAGUUUGUGGGGAUUCCUUAAAAGAGCUGUCUUCUCUGAUUACUAGGACAACAAUGCAAGAGUCACCAUGGGCUUUGACUGAAGACGGGAUGAAAGGUCUGCAGAGCAUCGCCAAACAGAAGCUGCAUCGUGUCAGAGAAAUUAUGGCUUUUGCGAGACACUGCUACCUUCAAGUUUUGACUGGAGCAGAGAACUUCCUUCAAAGCUUUUCAGAGGAAUAUUCUGACAGCAACUCUGCCUCUGACCUUGAGGAUCUGAAGUGAACGCUGCAGGGAACAGGACGUGAAUAUGAGAAGGCAGUUAUUCCUAGGUUGGAGUGAGCUGCUCCUCCUAAAGGUUCCCCGAGCUCACUCCAACCCUUCUCAUAUAGUGCCCCUAACUCAUGGAAUGUUCUGCAGAGCAACUUAAAAAUGACUGCUCUUCCUACUUUUGGUUUAUUUAAAUCUAUGAUUUCUGAAUUUUACACAUCUGACUGAACUGUUUUAGCUGAAUUCAUUGUUCAUUUAGUAUUUAUUUCAUCUUAUUUUUAUUCUUGCUCUUUUUUUCGUAUUGUAUAUACUUUCUAGAUAUAUUUUAUCAUAUUUUUUAUCCUAUUUUAUUUCUGUGUUCUCGGUUCAUUAUAUGUUAUCCUUGUAAUUGUGUUUAUUGUGUCGUCACUGUAAAUGAGGGAAACCGCUGUCUUUCGAGUGAAAAUAAAGGUUAUUGAAUGUAAGGCACAUCUUUCUCUUUUAAAAACUUUUUCGAAAAUGUGCAUUUAAUUCAUAAAUUCCUCCUUACUUUGUGUAUGUAGUAAGUCAUUCAAUUGGUUGUUUAUGACAUUAAAGCAUUUAUUGUCAUUUUAUUUCG
This is an RNA transcript of Dicentrarchus labrax (European seabass), 4127 nucleotides long. RefSeq lists it as uncharacterized. The record is from RefSeq and is a predicted model, not a curated record. NCBI's taxonomy places the organism in Eukaryota, Metazoa, Chordata, Actinopteri, Moronidae. The transcript has 11 exons.